RNAcentral lists this ribosomal RNA (253 nucleotides) under uncultured bacterium. RNAcentral describes it as "partial 16S ribosomal RNA". It matches the Rfam family "Bacterial small subunit ribosomal RNA", at positions 524 to 776 of the family's 1533-position model. The record is from RNAcentral.
UACGAAGGGGGCAAGCGUUGUUCGGAUUUACUGGGCGUAAAGGGCGCGCAGGCGGCCCGUCAAGUCAGAUGUGAAAGCCCCGGGCUCAACUGGGGAGGGUCACUCGAUACUGAUCGACUUGAAGGCAGGAGAGGGAAGCGGAAUUCCCGGUGUAGUGGUGAAAUGCGUAGAUAUCGGGAGGAACACCAGUGGCGAAGGCGGCUUCCUGGCCUGUUCUUGACGCUGAGGCGCGAAAGCUAGGGGAGCAGACGGG